Molecule: ribosomal RNA, 235 nt
Filed under: uncultured bacterium
Lineage: Bacteria
Description: partial 16S ribosomal RNA
Rfam family: Bacterial small subunit ribosomal RNA
Source: RNAcentral
GUUCGGAAUUACUGGGCGUAAAGGGCUCGUAGGCGGCCAACUAAGUCGGAUGUGAAAUCCCCAGGCUUAACCUGGGAACUGCAUCCGAUACUGGAUGGCUUGAAUCCGGGAGAGGGAUGCAGAAUUCCAGGUGUAGCGGUGAAAUGCGUAGAUAUCUGGAGGAAUACCGGUGGCGAAGGCGGCAUCCUGGACCGGCAUUGACGCUGAGUGAGCGAAAGCCAGGGGAGCAAACGGG